Molecule: ribosomal RNA, 469 nt
Filed under: uncultured bacterium
Lineage: Bacteria
Description: bacterial SSU rRNA
Rfam family: Bacterial small subunit ribosomal RNA
Source: RNAcentral
ACUCCUACGGGAGGCAGCAGUGGGGAAUAUUGGACAAUGGGCGCAAGCCUGAUCCAGCAAUGCCGCGUGUGUGAAGAAGGCCUUUGGGUUGUAAAGCACUUUUAUCAGGAGCGAAAUACGAUGGGCUAAUACCCCGUCGGGCUGACGGUACCUGAGGAAUAAGCACCGGCUAACUUUGUGCCAGCAGCCGCGGUAAUACGAAGGGUGCAAGCGUUAAUCGGAAUUACUGGGCGUAAAGCGUGCGUAGGCGGUUUUUUAAGUCUGCUGUGAAAUCCCCGGGCUCAACCUGGGAAUGGCAGUGGAUACUGGAAAGCUAGAGUGUGAUAGAGGAUGGUGGAAUUCCCGGUGUAGCGGUGAAAUGCGUAGAGAUCGGGAGGAACAUCAGUGGCGAAGGCGGCCAUCUGGAUCAACACUGACGCUGAGGCACGAAAGCGUGGGGAGCAAACAGGAUUAGAAACCCCAGUAGUCC